AGUGAACGCUGGCGGUAGGCCUAACACAUGCAAGUCGAACGGCAGCACAGUAAGAGCUUGCUCUUACGGGUGGCGAGUGGCGGACGGGUGAGGAAUACAUCGGAAUCUACUUUUUCGUGGGAGAUAACGUAGGGAAACUUACGCUAAUACCGCAUACGACCUACGGGUGAAAGCAGGGGAUCUUCGGACCUUGCGCGAUUGAAUGAGCCGAUGUCGGAUUAGCUAGUUGGCGGGGUAAAGGCCCACCAAGGCGACGAUCCGUAGCUGGUCUGAGAGGAUGAUCAGCCACACUGGAACUGAGACACGGUCCAGACUCCUACGGGAGGCAGCAGUGGGGAAUAUUGGACAAUGGGCGCAAGCCUGAUCCAGCCAUACCGCGUGGGUGAAGAAGGCCUUCGGGUUGUAAGGCCCUUUUGUUGGGAAAGAAAAGCAGCAGGUUAAUACCCCGCUGUUCUGACGGUACCCAAAGAAUAAGCACCGGCUAACUUCGUG
RNAcentral lists this ribosomal RNA (492 nucleotides) under uncultured bacterium. RNAcentral's name for it is "partial 16S ribosomal RNA". It matches the Rfam family "Bacterial small subunit ribosomal RNA", at positions 29 to 507 of the family's 1533-position model. The record is from RNAcentral.